GAUGAAGAACGUAGCGAAAUGCGAUAAGUAAUGCGAAUUGCAGAAUUCCGUGAGUCAUCGAAUCUUUGAACGCACAUUGCGCCCUCUGGUAUUCCGGAGGGCAGGCCUGUCUGAGCGUCAUUGUCAACCCUCAAGCUCAGCUUGCUGUUGGGUCCCCGUCGUUGCUUUAACGGCGGACCCGAAAGGUAAUGGCAGAGUCCGUGAGACCCUAGACGCAGCGAGCUUCUAGCACGCGUCUGGACGUUUUUCGGGCUCGGUCUUAACUAGAUGAUAACUUCCGAUUGACCUCAGAUCAGGUAGGGAUACCCGCUGAACUUAAGCAUAUCAAUAAGCGGAGGA
RNAcentral lists this unclassified non-coding RNA (339 nucleotides) under soil metagenome. RNAcentral's name for it is "partial contains 5.8S ribosomal RNA, internal transcribed spacer 2, and large subunit ribosomal RNA". The stretch from base 1 to 120 matches the Rfam family "5.8S ribosomal RNA", at positions 35 to 154 of the family's 154-position model. The record is from RNAcentral.